CAGAGGGUGCGAGCGUUAAUCGGAAUUACUGGGCGUAAAGCGUGCGUAGACGGCUAUCUAAGUCGGGUGUGAAAGCCCCGGGCUCAACCUGGGAAUUGCAUUCGAGACUGAAUAGCUAGGGUACGGUAGAGGGAAGCGGAAUUUCCGGUGUAGCGGUGAAAUGCGUAGAUAUCGGAAGGAACAUCAGUGGCGAAAGCGGCUUCCUGGACCAGUACCGACGUUCAGGCACGAAAGCGUGGGGAGCAAACAGGAUUAGAUACCCUGGUAGUCCACGCCAUAAACGAUGAGGACUAGACGUUGGAGGGGUAAGCCUUUCAGUGUCGUAGCUAACGCGCUAAGUCCUCCGCCUGGGGAGUACGGCCGCAAGGUUG
RNAcentral lists this ribosomal RNA (371 nucleotides) under uncultured organism. Its description in RNAcentral is "bacterial SSU rRNA". It matches the Rfam family "Bacterial small subunit ribosomal RNA", at positions 526 to 896 of the family's 1533-position model. The record is from RNAcentral.